RNAcentral lists this ribosomal RNA (783 nucleotides) under Triticum aestivum (bread wheat). RNAcentral describes it as "partial small subunit ribosomal RNA". Lineage: Eukaryota; Viridiplantae; Streptophyta; Magnoliopsida; Poales; Poaceae. The record is from RNAcentral.
AUGGCGCAACCUAAUGUCAAGCUUCUGCGCUGGAAUGUGCGUGGCCUUAACCCUGCCCGUCGCGACGCCGUGUAGGACCUUGUCCGAGACUACAGUGCUACCAUCGUGUGCCUCCAAGAGACUAAGCUCGAACACGUCGACAAUAUUCUGAUUGCAAGCAUGAUCGGGCCCUCCUUUACUACAAACUACCAAGUCCUCCCGGCUGUUGGUUCAAGGGGGAUGAUCAUGGCCGUAUCCGACGCUUUCUUCAGGCUUUCAGAAUUCCAGGCAACGCAUGGAUCCAUCUCGGCUACCGUCACCAUGCUAGCUGAUGGCCUCGACUGGACCCUAUCAUGCGUCUAUGGCCCUCAGGGGGAUCAAGAGAAGCUGCUAUUCUUAAAUGAGCUCAGGGGGCUGAAGUAUGUUGUGAAGCCCCGGUGGCUCAUUCUUGGUGAUUUCAACCUGAUCACCAAAGCGGCUGACAAGAACAACCAAAACAUCAACAACCACCUCAUUGGCAGUUUCCGUUCUGUGCUAAACCACCUGCAACUAAAAGAGAUGUGGCUCUCAGUCCGAAAAUUCACAUGGUCCAGUGCUCAAGAGAACCCGGUGCUAACAAAGAUAGAUCAUUUUUUCCACUCCGAUGGUUGGGAUGAGCUUUUUCCAAUGCACACCUUCAAGCCAUCUCCUCUUCUUGCUCGGACCAUGCCCUGCUUUUCCUCCAAGGGGAUACUGAGGUGCGUCGGCGCCCGUCUUUCAAGUUUGAAGAGUCCUGGCUUCGUCUACCAGGUUUCAAGGAAAUAG